UGGGGAAUAUUGGACAAUGGGGGCAACCCUGAUCCAGCCAUGCCGCGUGGGUGAAGAAGGCCUUAGGGUUGUAAAGCCCUUUCAGCGGGGAAGAUGAUGACGGUACCCGCAGAAGAAGCCCCGGCUAACUCCGUGCCAGCAGCCGCGGUAAUACGGAGGGGGCAAGCGUUGUUCGGAUUUACUGGGCGUAAAGCGCACGUAGGCGGAUCGUUAAGUGAGGGGUGAAAUCCCAGGGCUCAACCCUGGAACUGCCUCUCAUACUGGCGAUCUGGAGUUCGAGAGAGGUGAGUGGAAUUCCGAGUGUAGAGGUGAAAUUCGUAGAUAUUCGGAGGAACACCAGUGGCGAAGGCGGCUCACUGGCUCGAUACUGACGCUGAGGUGCGAAAGCGUGGGGAGCAAACAGGAUUAGAUACCCCUGUAGUCC
Molecule: ribosomal RNA, 424 nt
Filed under: uncultured prokaryote
Description: bacterial SSU rRNA
Rfam family: Bacterial small subunit ribosomal RNA
Source: RNAcentral